RNAcentral lists this ribosomal RNA (365 nucleotides) under uncultured bacterium. RNAcentral describes it as "partial 16S ribosomal RNA". It matches the Rfam family "Bacterial small subunit ribosomal RNA", at positions 338 to 700 of the family's 1533-position model. The record is from RNAcentral.
CCUACGGGAGGCAGCAGUGAGGAAUAUUGGUCAAUGGGCGCGAGCCUGAACCAGCCAAGUAGCGUGAAGGAUGACUGCCCUACGGGUUGUAAACUUCUUUUAUAAAGGAAUAAAGUGAGGCACGUGUGCCGUUUUGUAUGUACUUUAUGAAUAAGGAUCGGCUAACUCCGUGCCAGCAGCCGCGGUAAUACGGAGGAUCCGAGCGUUAUCCGGAUUUAUUGGGGUUAAAGGGAGCGUAGAGGGGUUGUUAAGUCAGUUGUGAAAGUUUGCGGCUCAACCGUAAAAUUGCAAUUGAUACUGGCAGUCUUGCUUACAGUUGAGGUAGGCGGACUUCGUGGUGUAGCGGUGCACUGCUUCGAUAUCAC